RNAcentral lists this transfer RNA (69 nucleotides) under Rattus norvegicus (Norway rat). It matches the Rfam family "tRNA". Rfam says of the family: Transfer RNA (tRNA) molecules are approximately 80 nucleotides in length. Their secondary structure includes four short double-helical elements and three loops (D, anti-codon, and T loops). Lineage: Eukaryota; Metazoa; Chordata; Mammalia; Rodentia; Muridae. The record is from Rfam by way of RNAcentral.
GGAGAUUUAGCUCAGUGGCAGAGCGCUUGCCUAGCAAGCGCAAGGCCCUGGGUUCGGUCCCCAGCUCCG